GAAAAUGAAAAUCUCGAAGAGCUGGGGGGGGGGGAGAGCCUGCGCUUAAUUGCGCGGCUUGAUUUACCCUCCGCCUUUGAUACACACAGUGGAGUUUCUACUUUUUUGUUCUCUUUGGGGAAGUGCUUUUAAAGGCGUCUGUCCCCAGAGGUAAACACAAACAACAUUUUUAUGAAAUUAUAAAAAGUCAAAAACGAAUUAAAACAAAAUAUUCAAAACUUUCAACAACGGAUCUCUUGGUUCU
RNAcentral lists this unclassified non-coding RNA (244 nucleotides) under rhizosphere metagenome. RNAcentral describes it as "partial ribosomal RNA internal transcribed spacer region". The record is from RNAcentral.